AUGAUAGAGAAAAUGUUUGAGUGAGAGAGAUAAAGGAGAAAGGGUUAAGAGGAAUGAAGGAGGUGAGUAAGGGUUUUGGAUUUUCUUUUUUUAGUUUUGAGAAUGAAAAUUAUUAAAAUAAGGCAAGUGUUUCUGAUUUUUUUUCAAUUGGAGCUAGAGUAAGGAUGACAAAGAAAAGGUUGGAGUGAAAGAGAAAUGGUUG
RNAcentral lists this long non-coding RNA (202 nucleotides) under Vigna radiata. Its description in RNAcentral is "long non-coding RNA (VRAD_LNC013506)". Lineage: Eukaryota; Viridiplantae; Streptophyta; Magnoliopsida; Fabales; Fabaceae. The record is from RNAcentral.